RNAcentral lists this ribosomal RNA (882 nucleotides) under Penicillium oxalicum. RNAcentral's name for it is "partial large subunit ribosomal RNA". It matches the Rfam family "Eukaryotic large subunit ribosomal RNA", at positions 39 to 939 of the family's 3401-position model. Lineage: Eukaryota; Fungi; Ascomycota; Eurotiomycetes; Eurotiales; Aspergillaceae. The record is from RNAcentral.
CAUAUCAAUAAGCGGAGGAAAAGAAACCAACAGGGAUUGCCUCAGUAACGGCGAGUGAAGCGGCAAGAGCUCAAAUUUGAAAGCUGGCUCCUUCGGGGUCCGCAUUGUAAUUUGCAGAGGAUGCUUCGGGAGCGGCCCCCAUCUAAGUGCCCUGGAACGGGCCGUCAUAGAGGGUGAAAAUCCCGUCUGGGAUGGGGUGUCCGCGCCCGUGUGAAGCUCCUUCGACGAGUCGAGUUGUUUGGGAAUGCAGCUCUAAAUGGGUGGUAAAUUUCAUCUAAAGCUAAAUAUUGGCCGGAGACCGAUAGCGCACAAGUAGAGUGAUCGAAAGAUGAAAAGCACUUUGAAAAGAGAGUUAAACAGCACGUGAAAUUGUUGAAAGGGAAGCGCUUGCGACCAGACUCGCCCACGGGGUUCAGCCGGCAUUCGUGCCGGUGUACUUCCCCGCGGGCGGGCCAGCGUCGGUUUGGGCGGCCGGUCAAAGGCCCUCGGAAUGUAACGCCCCCCGGGGCGUCUUAUAGCCGAGGGUGCCAUGCGGCCAGCCCAGACCGAGGAACGCGCUUCGGCUCGGACGCUGGCAUAAUGGUCGUAAGCGACCCGUCUUGAAACACGGACCAAGGAGUCUAACAUCUACGCGAGUGUUCGGGUGUCAAACCCGUGCGCGCAGUGAAAGCGAACGGAGGUGGGAACCCCUCGGGGUGCACCAUCGACCGAUCCUGAUGUCUUCGGAUGGAUUUGAGUAUGAGCGUAGCUGUUGGGACCCGAAAGAUGGUGAACUAUGCCUGAAUAGGGUGAAGCCAGAGGAAACUCUGGUGGAGGCUCGCAGCGGUUCUGACGUGCAAAUCGAUCGUCAAAUUUGGGUAUAGGGGCGAAAGACUAAUCGAG